Long non-coding RNA from Acinonyx jubatus (cheetah), 1028 nucleotides. RefSeq lists it as uncharacterized. The transcript is spliced from 5 exons. Lineage: Eukaryota; Metazoa; Chordata; Mammalia; Carnivora; Felidae. The record is from RefSeq and is a predicted model, not a curated record.
CAAAAAGGUCAGUGAUUCUCAAGCAAACAGCUCCCUCCACUGGCUCAACCAUCAUCAUAUGCUCUGAAGUCUCAAGUCCCUUGAGUUCCCCUCCUACCAAGUUUGCAUAUAGACCACAGACAGAAUGCUAGGGCUGCUUGAGAAUUUAGAAACACCGAAUUAAAAAAGGUUCUACAGCCAGCAUGGAGCUGAAUGCAGUGCUUGAACUCACAACCUUGAGAUAAAUACCUGCACUGAAAUCAAGAGUUGGACACUCAACAAACUUAGUGUAUUGUAUUGCAUUCUGCCUCCAACUUCACUGCCUACAUUUUCUUUGACUGGCCUUCUUUGAUCACUUCCUAUGGCAGAUUUUUAUUUAUCACCCCCACUUCUCCAUUUAAGUGGGAAUGUUCUUUGCAGCUGAAAUGUACACACCAGUAACACACAUUUUGCCAGAGUUGGAAAAAAAAAUAAGAAGGUUAAAUGUUACUCUUGUAAGUCCUUCAAAGAAAGGAAAGUUGUGGUGACAAUGUUGACCUUUGCCUGAGACCUAUGCUUGGAAACCAGAAAAGGUUAAGACACCCUCCCAAUCAUCUGUGUUCAGAGAAACUGAAAAAGACUACCCUUCCCAUGCAUAUGGGAUCUUCAUAAGGCAAAUGAAACCUGAAACUGUCCUGACAGGACCUCCAGCCAUCCCAGACCACCCAGACCAGUUUGAGCUUAACCCCCGACGGGCACCUGCACAGACCAUGGAGUGACAUCUGGAAUGACCAACAAUUCCCUCUUCCUCAUUAUAAUAAUAAAAUCUCUACCCAAGGAGGGGCACCAGCCUCAUUUAUAUAACAUAUGAUGUAUGUAUAAGCAUGUUUCCUUAAGGUGCAUGCAUGACCUCAUGCCCACCUCUACAAAGGAUGACAAGGCUUCCCUAUUUAAAUAUUCAUCCUAACCCUAAACAAAAGGCACUCAUUCACCCUUUCUCAGGAAGUCAAGGCUUUGGAAAUUAUUCCCAGUGAUCUCCUUAUUUGCCUCAAAUAAAAUUUACUUUGUGU